Molecule: ribosomal RNA, 468 nt
Filed under: uncultured bacterium
Lineage: Bacteria
Description: partial 16S ribosomal RNA
Rfam family: Bacterial small subunit ribosomal RNA
Source: RNAcentral
GACGAACGCUGGCGGCGUGCUUAACACAUGCAAGUCGAACGGAAAGGCCCUGCUUUUGUGGGGUGCUCGAGUGGCGAACGGGUGAGUAACACGUGAGUAACCUGCCCUUGACUUUGGGAUAACUUCAGGAAACUGGGGCUAAUACCGGAUAGGAGCUCCUGCUGCAUGGUGGGGGUUGGAAAGUUUCGGCGGUUGGGGAUGGACUCGCGGCUUAUCAGCUUGUUGGUGGGGUAGUGGCUUACCAAGGCUUUGACGGGUAGCCGGCCUGAGAGGGUGACCGGCCACAUUGGGACUGGAAUACGGCCCAGACUCCUACGGGAGGCAGCAGAGGAGAAGAUUGCACAAUGGGCGGAAGCCUGAUGCAGCAACGCCGCGUGCGGGAUGACGGCCUUCGGGUUGUAAACCGCUUUCGCCUGUGACGAAGCGUGAGUGACGGUAAUGGGUAAAGAAGCACCGGCUAACUACGUG